AUUGAACGCUGGCGGCAUGCCUUACACAUGCAAGUCGAACGGCAGCACGGGAGCAAUCCUGGUGGCGAGUGGCGAACGGGUGAGUAAUAUAUCGGAACGUGCCCAGUCGUGGGGAUAACGUAGCGAAAGCUACGCUAAUACCGCAUACGAUCUAUGGAUGAAAGCGGGGGGAUCGCAAGACCUCGCGCGAUUGGAGCGGCCGAUAUCAGAUUAGGUAGUUGGUGAGGUAAAGGCUCACCAAGCCGACGAUCUGUAGCUGGUCUGAGAGGACGACCAGCCACACUGGGACUGAGACACGGCCCAGACUCCUACGGGAGGCAGCAGUGGGGAAUUUUGGACAAUGGGCGAAAGCCUGAUCCAGCCAUGCCGCGU
RNAcentral lists this ribosomal RNA (372 nucleotides) under uncultured bacterium. RNAcentral's name for it is "bacterial SSU rRNA". It matches the Rfam family "Bacterial small subunit ribosomal RNA", at positions 30 to 402 of the family's 1533-position model. The record is from RNAcentral.